RNAcentral lists this ribosomal RNA (428 nucleotides) under uncultured bacterium. Its description in RNAcentral is "partial 16S ribosomal RNA". It matches the Rfam family "Bacterial small subunit ribosomal RNA", at positions 354 to 796 of the family's 1533-position model. The record is from RNAcentral.
GUAGGGAAUAUUGCGCAAUGGACGAAAGUCUGACGCAGCGACGCCGCGUGAGUGAUGAAGGCCUUAGGGUCGUAAAGCUCUGUUGAAUGGGAAGAAAAAAAUGACGGUACCAUUCGAGGAAGGACCGGCUAACUUCGUGCCAGCAGCAGCGGUAAUACGAGGGGUCCUAGCGUUGUUCGGAAUCAUUGGGCGUAAAGGGUGUGUAGGUGGCCAUGUAAGUCAGGUGUGAAAGCCCCGGGCUCAACCCGGGAAGUGCACUUGAUACUGCGUGGCUUGAGUACCGAAGAGGGUAGUGGAAUUCCAGGUGUAGUGGUGAAAUACGUAGAUAUCUGGAGGAACACCGGUGGCGAAGGCGGCUACCUGGUCGAGUACUGACACUGAGACACGAAAGCAUGGGGAUCAAACAGGAUUAGAUACCCCGGUAGUCC